UGGGGAAUUUUGGACAAUGGGCGAAAGCCUGAUCCAGCAAUGCCGCGUGUGUGAAGAAGGCCUUCGGGUUGUAAAGCACUUUUGUCCGGAAAGAAAUCCUUGGCUCUAAUACAGUCGGGGGAUGACGGUACCGGAAGAAUAAGCACCGGCUAACUACGUGCCAGCAGCCGCGGUAAUACGUAGGGUGCAAGCGUUAAUCGGAAUUACUGGGCGUAAAGCGUGCGCAGGCGGUUUGCUAAGACCGAUGUGAAAUCCCCGGGCUCAACCCGGGAACUGCAUUGGUGACUGGCAGGCUAGAGUAUGGCAGAGGGGGGUAGAAUUCCACGUGUAGCAGUGAAAUGCGUAGAGAUGUGGAGGAAUACCGAUGGCGAAGGCAGCCCCCUGGGCCAAUACUGACGCUCAUGCACGAAAGCGUGGGGAGCAAACAGGAUUAGAUACCCUGGUAGUCCACGCCCUAAACGAUGUCAACUAGUUGUUAGGGAUUCAUUUCCUUAGUAACGUAGCUAACGCGUGAAGUUGACCGCCUGGGGAGUACGGUCGCAAGAUUAAAACUUAAAGGAAUUGACGGGGUCAUAGCUGUUUCCU
This 585-nucleotide ribosomal RNA is filed under the name uncultured bacterium. RNAcentral describes it as "partial 16S ribosomal RNA". It matches the Rfam family "Bacterial small subunit ribosomal RNA", at positions 355 to 1375 of the family's 1533-position model. The record is from RNAcentral.